RNAcentral lists this non-coding RNA (118 nucleotides) under Pan troglodytes (chimpanzee). The record is from Rfam by way of RNAcentral. Lineage: Eukaryota; Metazoa; Chordata; Mammalia; Primates; Hominidae.
GCCGGGUGCGGUGGCUCACACCUGUAAUCCCAAGCACUUUGGGAGGCGGAGGCAGGUGGAUCACCUGAGGUCAGGAGUUCGAGACAGGGCCUGGCCAACAUGGUGAAACCUGUCUCUA